This is a non-coding RNA of Chaetura pelagica (chimney swift), 46 nucleotides long. The record is from Rfam. Lineage: Eukaryota; Metazoa; Chordata; Aves; Apodiformes; Apodidae.
UGUAUGGCUCCUUUAGGAGCCACCACCUUUGCUCAAAAAAGCAACA